CCCUGUUCAUGGUUAGUUGAAUUUUGCCCAUGUAUCCUCUGAGGUCUGGCAUUAAGAUCAAUCAACUUAUUGUCAAUCUUGCGAUCACCAUCGGUGUUAUUCUCCAUCAUUGGAAUGGGAGAUUCUCUGUGAUUUUGCUUACUGUCUCUCAUCGUGAGUUUAGGUGGCUGAUUUUGGUCCCUCCGAACUUCAUUUUGAUCAAGAGGUUGCUGUCCUAAUUCAUCCAAAUGGCGAGGCUUGUCCCCUGGAAACUCAACUCUCUGCCUCAACAGGAGAUAUCUCCCAUGGGUUCUUUUACCACCAACAUGCACAAUCAUAUCACAUUGCAGACAGA
Molecule: unclassified non-coding RNA, 334 nt
Filed under: Hevea brasiliensis (rubber tree)
Lineage: Eukaryota; Viridiplantae; Streptophyta; Magnoliopsida; Malpighiales; Euphorbiaceae
Source: RNAcentral